Panthera uncia (snow leopard) is the source of this 752-nucleotide long non-coding RNA. RefSeq lists it as uncharacterized. Lineage: Eukaryota; Metazoa; Chordata; Mammalia; Carnivora; Felidae. The record is from RefSeq and is a predicted model, not a curated record. The transcript is spliced from 3 exons.
CCAAUCUCAGGGUGUAUCAUGAAUGAUAUCAGUAGCAUUUGGUUUAAUGGAUUUUGGUAGGGACAAAUCAGCAGUUGCAAAUCUGUAUGUCUCUGGACUUAUCAUUUCCAUGCUCACCUGACUAUUUUAUCCAGUGUCCAUUGCCCUCUCUUACCUCUGAGGAUGAAAUAAUUUAAAAAGCGCUCUCCUUGUGCAUCACCUUUGCUGUCAUCUUGCUUCAUGAUUCUGCUCCUGCCAUGGUGAGUGAGCACCUUCGGAAGCAGCACCUGCCAGGAAACAACUGUUUUUGGAGAUCUCAAUGUGACACCGUGCAAAACAGAUGAGCUGAAGAAAGAUUGUCAUUUUAUCUGUGAGGACAAAUUCAAGGGAUCAUGAGCUGUGAUACACAGAUGCAUUAGUAUUGUGACUUCACUGCCAGCGUGUGCCCCCUAUUAAUGAGGCCCCAGAGCACUCCUUAUUUCCAGGGUUGGAGACAUCGUUCUGGCAGCUUCUAGUUGUGCAGAAGCAGGUAAGGUUACCCUGCAAAUCUGUACUUGCUUCAAAGCCCAACUGACUGAAACUGGCCCUCAGAACACUUAAAGAGCAAUUUCUGAGCUCUUCUUGGCCCCAGGAGGGGUGAUGAACAUCACAAUUCAUCUCUAAAAAUCGCAAUGGACUCCCGUGAAGAUGAAAUGAGGCUGAGAAAUUAAUUUUUGAUGAUCUCCAGACAAGCAACAGACACUCCUCGAAGUGCAUGUUUGUAUUUUGGGGCG